AAUCAACGCUGGCGGCGUGCCUCAGACAUGCAAGUCGAACGAUUAAAGCUCUCUUCGGAGAGUGUAUAGAGUGGCGCACGGGUGAGUAACACGUAAGUAAUCUACCCUCGAGUGGGGAAUAACAACCGGAAACGGUUGCUAAUACCGCAUAAUGCAGCGGCACCGCAAGGUGACAGUUGUUAAAGAUUUAUCGCUUGGGGAGGAGCUUGCGGCAGAUUAGCUAGUUGGUAGGGUAACGGCUUACCAAGGCUACGAUCUGUAACCGGUCUAAGAGGACGGUCGGUCACACUGACACUGAAUAACGGGUCAGACUCCUACGGGAGGCAGCAGUCGGGAAUUUUGGGCAAUGGGCGAAAGCCUGACCCAGCAACGCCGCGUGAAGGAUGAAGUAUUUCGGUAUGUAAACUUCGAAAGAAUAGGAAGAAUUAAUGACGGUACUAUUUAUAAGGUCCGGCUAACUACGUG
RNAcentral lists this ribosomal RNA (465 nucleotides) under uncultured bacterium. Its description in RNAcentral is "bacterial SSU rRNA". It matches the Rfam family "Bacterial small subunit ribosomal RNA", at positions 32 to 507 of the family's 1533-position model. The record is from RNAcentral.